This 253-nucleotide ribosomal RNA is filed under the name uncultured bacterium. RNAcentral's name for it is "partial 16S ribosomal RNA". It matches the Rfam family "Bacterial small subunit ribosomal RNA", at positions 524 to 776 of the family's 1533-position model. The record is from RNAcentral.
UACGUAGGGGGCAAGCGUUGUCCGGAUUUAUUGCGCGUAAAGAGCGUGUAGGCGGCUUUACAGGUCCGUUGUGAAAACUCGAGGCUCAACCUCGAGACGCCGGUGGAAACCGUAAAGCUAGAGUCCGGAAGAGGAGAGUGGAAUUCCUGGUGUAGCGGUGAAAUGCGCAGAUAUCAGGAGGAACACCCGUGGCGAAAGCGGCUCUCUGGGACGGUACUGACGCUGAGACGCGAAAGCGUGGGGAGCAAACAGG